RNAcentral lists this ribosomal RNA (253 nucleotides) under uncultured bacterium. Its description in RNAcentral is "partial 16S ribosomal RNA". It matches the Rfam family "Bacterial small subunit ribosomal RNA", at positions 524 to 776 of the family's 1533-position model. The record is from RNAcentral.
UACGUAGGUCGCAAGCGUUAUCCGGAUUUAUUGGGCGUAAAGCGUCCGUAGCUGGUUGUAUAAGUCUAUUUUCAAACACCUGGGCUCAACCUAGGAGAGGGAAUAGAUACUGUACAACUCGAAGUCAAUAGAGGUGGGUAGAAUUUCGUGUGGAGGAGUGAAAUCCGUUGAUAUGCGAAGGAAUACCAAAAGCGAAGGCAGCUCACUAUAUUGAACUUGACAGUCAGGGACGAAAGUCUGGGUAGCAAACGGG